GAGCCCGUGGCUCAAUGGUAGAGCGUUCGACUCAAAUACCAAAGGUCGCGGGUUC
Molecule: non-coding RNA, 55 nt
Organism: Schistocephalus solidus
Lineage: Eukaryota; Metazoa; Platyhelminthes; Cestoda; Diphyllobothriidea; Diphyllobothriidae
Source: Rfam